GUGGAAAUUUCCAUUUCUCCUAUUCUACUCUAUCACUCUUUCUCUCUUUCAUGGCGACUAAUCGUGUAUGUUCUGUUGCUGUAUAUAUCGACCAGAAAUUAAGAACAGCUGCCAUUUUACCUACAGUGCACUAUAUGCAGCAUUCAAUUUGAAAUAGUUGAUAAGAUUACGUUUACAACAGGAUUUCACCAUGAAAGUACCUCAACAGAAAUGUGCCCUUUCUGAGUUAGCUAUGGACGACUGUGACAGGAGAGCUAGACCUUGUGUUUACCAAAGUGAUGAACAUAAUCAUAAUCAAGACGUUGAGACUGAUUCUGAUCACAGUUCAUUCAGCGCUUGGUCAAGUAUACCAAUUGUGAACGAUCCUAUAAUAUACCCACGGACACAACAAACAUACAACUCCAGCAUAUUGCCAGAUAUCCACACUCAAAGGACGCUUUUCGAGAGACCUUAUAUUGUUACUUUAAAUUUGCAUCAAAACUGGUCUACAACAUCUGUGCGAACUUUGCCGAAUCUCAGAACCAGUUUAGAACAUUUGGUAACAGAGGAUAGUAGUGAUGAGCAGAGUAAUCAUGAACUACAACAGGGAAUUGGUUCAUGUAGUGAACCAGCUGUCCCACAUCCUGCUAACCCGUUUUGGGAUUCUGAGGAGUAGAAUGAACCCCUGACACAUCAUAUAAAUACAUAUUUAUUUUUGUAUUUCAUUUUUGUGCUGAUGUUUUAAUAAUUCAUCUUCACUUGAAACAACCCAAUCAUGUUAUGAUGUGCUGAAAUAAGUGCAGUUAACAGACGGAGAUCAGUAUUUAUAUUCGAAAGCAGAAACCUGAUCAUAUGCCAUCUAUUAUGUUUAAAGAAACAACGUUCAAUAGUAAAGAAUUUAUUUGUAAAUAAAGUAAUAAUGAUAAAUUGUU
Saccoglossus kowalevskii is the source of this 911-nucleotide long non-coding RNA. NCBI's taxonomy places the organism in Eukaryota, Metazoa, Hemichordata, Enteropneusta, Harrimaniidae. The record is from RefSeq and is a predicted model, not a curated record.